Molecule: transfer RNA, 72 nt
Organism: Camelus ferus (Wild Bactrian camel)
Lineage: Eukaryota; Metazoa; Chordata; Mammalia; Artiodactyla; Camelidae
Rfam family: tRNA
About the family: Transfer RNA (tRNA) molecules are approximately 80 nucleotides in length. Their secondary structure includes four short double-helical elements and three loops (D, anti-codon, and T loops).
Source: Rfam
GAGGGUAUAGCUCAGUGGUAGAGCACAUGCUUAGCAUGCACGAGGCCUGGGGUUCAAUCUCCUGUACCUCCA